AACGAACGCUGGCGGCAUGCCUAACACAUGCAAGUCGAACGAGACCUUCGGGUCUAGUGGCGCACGGGUGCGUAACGCGUGGGAACCUGCCCUUGGGUUCGGAAUAACUCCCCGAAAGGGGUGCUAAUACCGGAUAAUGUCUUCGGACCAAAGAUUUAUCGCCUUUGGAUGGGCCCGCGUUGGAUUAGCUAGUUGGUAGGGUAAAAGCCUACCAAGGCGACGAUCCAUAGCUGGUCUGAGAGGAUGAUCAGCCACAUUGGGACUGAGACACGGCCCAGACUCCUACGGGAGGCAGCAGUGGGGAAUAUUGGACAAUGGGCGAAAGCCUGAUCCAGCAAUGCCGCGUGAGUGAUGAAGGCCUUAGGGUUGUAAAGCUCUUUUACCCGGGAUGAUAAUGACAGUACCGGGAGAAUAAGCUCCGGCUAACUCCGUG
RNAcentral lists this ribosomal RNA (433 nucleotides) under uncultured bacterium. Its description in RNAcentral is "partial 16S ribosomal RNA". It matches the Rfam family "Bacterial small subunit ribosomal RNA", at positions 29 to 507 of the family's 1533-position model. The record is from RNAcentral.